Hibiscus syriacus is the source of this 85-nucleotide small nucleolar RNA. RefSeq annotates it as small nucleolar RNA R160. The transcript has a single exon. Lineage: Eukaryota; Viridiplantae; Streptophyta; Magnoliopsida; Malvales; Malvaceae. The record is from RefSeq and is a predicted model, not a curated record.
GGCAAAACGAGGAUAAUUUUUUAAUGGCUGAAUUUGAUGUGGAAUUCCUUUAUCAUUUCAUGGUCUUCAAAUAUCCCUGAUUGCU